RNAcentral lists this transfer RNA (69 nucleotides) under Marmota monax (woodchuck). RNAcentral's name for it is "tRNA.Ala". Lineage: Eukaryota; Metazoa; Chordata; Mammalia; Rodentia; Sciuridae. The record is from RNAcentral.
GGUUGUGGCUCAGUAUGGUAGAGUGCUUGCCUAGCACAUGUGAGGCACUGGGUUCAAUUCUCAGCACCG